CUCCUCGUAGUGUAACGGAUAGCACGUAAGAUUCCGGUUCUUAAGAUAGAGGUUCGACUCCUCUCGAGGGGG
This 72-nucleotide transfer RNA is filed under the name Staphylococcus haemolyticus. RNAcentral's name for it is "tRNA-Arg". It matches the Rfam family "tRNA". From Rfam's summary of the family: Transfer RNA (tRNA) molecules are approximately 80 nucleotides in length. The record is from RNAcentral. RNAcentral also lists the same sequence under 7 other names. Lineage: Bacteria; Bacillati; Bacillota; Bacilli; Caryophanales; Staphylococcaceae.